UACGAAGGGGGCCAGCGUUGCUCGGAAUUACUGGGCGUAAAGCGCACGUAGGCGGAUUGUUAAGUCGGGGGUGAAAUCCUGGAGCUCAACUCCAGAACUGCCUUCGAUACUGGCGAUCUCGAGUUCGGGAGAGGUGAGUGGAACUGCGAGUGUAGAGGUGAAAUUCGUAGAUAUUCGCAAGAACACCAGUGGCGAAGGCGGCUCACUGGCCCGAUACUGACGCUGAGGUGCGAAAGCGUGGGGAGCAAACAGG
RNAcentral lists this ribosomal RNA (253 nucleotides) under uncultured bacterium. RNAcentral describes it as "partial 16S ribosomal RNA". It matches the Rfam family "Bacterial small subunit ribosomal RNA", at positions 524 to 776 of the family's 1533-position model. The record is from RNAcentral.